RNAcentral lists this ribosomal RNA (258 nucleotides) under uncultured bacterium. RNAcentral's name for it is "partial 16S ribosomal RNA". It matches the Rfam family "Bacterial small subunit ribosomal RNA", at positions 524 to 777 of the family's 1533-position model. The record is from RNAcentral.
UACGUAGGGUCCGAGCGUUGUCCGGAAUUACUGGGCGUAAAGAGCUCGUAGGCGGUGUGUCGCGUCGGCCGUGAAAACCUGCAGCUUAACUGUGGGCGUGCGGUCGAUACGGGCAGGCUAGAGUUCGGUAGGGGAGACUGGAAUUCCUGGUGUAGCGGUGAAAUGCGUAGAUAUCUGGAGGAACACCGGUGGCGAAGGCGGCAGUCCUGGACCGACGACUGACGCGUGAGGAGCGAAAGCCAGGGGAAGCAAAGCGGG